This is a long non-coding RNA of Thalassophryne amazonica, 103 nucleotides long. RefSeq lists it as uncharacterized. The record is from RefSeq and is a predicted model, not a curated record. NCBI's taxonomy places the organism in Eukaryota, Metazoa, Chordata, Actinopteri, Batrachoidiformes, Batrachoididae. The transcript has 4 exons.
AGGACACAUUUUACUCAGAUUUUCAGAGAGAAAUACACGACAACCAGCAGGUACAACAUUUGCUGGCUUCGUUCUUCACUAAGGACCUCCUGUAAGGGUGGAA